This 383-nucleotide ribosomal RNA is filed under the name uncultured Gammaproteobacteria bacterium. RNAcentral describes it as "bacterial SSU rRNA". It matches the Rfam family "Bacterial small subunit ribosomal RNA", at positions 30 to 394 of the family's 1533-position model. The record is from RNAcentral. Lineage: Bacteria; Pseudomonadati; Pseudomonadota; Gammaproteobacteria.
AUUGAACGCUGGCGGUAUGCUUAACACAUGCAAGUCGAACGGUAACAUAAGAGAGCUUGCCCUCUUGAUGACGAGUGGCGGACGGGUGAGUAAUAUAUAGGAACCUUCCUCAUAGUUUAGGAUAAGGCACUCGAAAGAGUGUCUAAUACUGGAUGUGGGACUACGGUUUAAAGCAGGGGAUCUUCGGACCUUGUGCUACGAGAUGGGCCUAUAUGAGAUUAGCUAGUUGGUGAGAUAAAAGCUCACCAAGGCGACGAUCUCUAGCUGGUUUGAGAGGAUGAUCAGCCACACUGGGGACUGAGACACGGCCCAGACUCCUACGGGGGAGGGCAGGGCAGUGGGGGGAAUAUUGGGGACAAUGGGGGGCAACCCUGAUCCAGCAA